RNAcentral lists this ribosomal RNA (350 nucleotides) under uncultured bacterium. RNAcentral describes it as "bacterial SSU rRNA". It matches the Rfam family "Bacterial small subunit ribosomal RNA", at positions 355 to 722 of the family's 1533-position model. The record is from RNAcentral.
UGGGGAAUAUUGGACAAUGGGCGCAAGCCUGAUCCAGCCAUGCCGCGUGUGUGAUGAAGGCCUUAGGGUUGUAAAGCACUUUCAACGGUGAAGAUAAUGACGGUAACCGUAGAAGAAGCCCCGGCUAACUUCGUGCCGGCAGCCGCGGUAAUACGAAGGGGGCUAGCGUUGUUCGGAAUUACUGGGCGUAAAGCGCACGUAGGCGGAUUGAUCAGUUAGAGGUGAAAUCCCGGGGCUCAACCCCGGAACUGCCUUUAAUACUGUCAAUCUAGAGAUCGAGAGAGGUGAGUGGAAUUCCGAGUGUAGAGGUGAAAUUCGUAGAUAUUCGGAGGAACACCAGUGGCGAAGGC